Molecule: ribosomal RNA, 192 nt
Filed under: Paenibacillus lemnae
Lineage: Bacteria; Bacillati; Bacillota; Bacilli; Caryophanales; Paenibacillaceae
Description: partial 16S ribosomal RNA
Rfam family: Bacterial small subunit ribosomal RNA
Source: RNAcentral
AAUCCUAUAUGGAGAGUUUGAUCCUGGCUCAGGACGAACGCUGGCGGCGUGCCUAAUACAUGCAAGUCGAGCGGAGCAACGGUUUCCUUCGGGAAACCAUUAGCUUAGCGGCGGACGGGUGAGUAACACGUAGGCAACCUGCCCUCAAGACUGGGAUAACUACCGGAAACGGUAGCUAAUACCGGAUAAUUG